UACGAAGGGGGCUAGCGUUGUUCGGAAUUACUGGGCGUAAAGGGCGCGCAGGCGGCUCAUCAAGUCAGGCGUGAAAGCCCCGGGCUUAACCUGGGAGGUGCGUCUGGGACUGGUGGGCUAGAGUUCGGGAGAGGAGCGUGGAAUUCCCAGUGUAGAGGUGAAAUUCGUAGAUAUUGGGAAGAACACCGGUGGCGAAGGCGGCGCUCUGGACCGAGACUGACGCUGAGGCGCGAAAGCGUGGGGAGCAAACAGG
This 253-nucleotide ribosomal RNA is filed under the name uncultured bacterium. RNAcentral describes it as "partial 16S ribosomal RNA". It matches the Rfam family "Bacterial small subunit ribosomal RNA", at positions 524 to 776 of the family's 1533-position model. The record is from RNAcentral.